GGAAUAAGAGAGGAAAGGCAACUCUAGCCACAUUAAUCACUUUUAUCAGGCAGAUAAAUGCUUUUCCUGAAUCUUUCAAUAGACUUUCAUUUUACAUUUGGCAUAUUUUUGUCAUAUAGCCUUCCCUAGCUGCAAGGGAGGCUUUUCAAACUUCUUUAUGGAAUUCAGCAAGAAAGUAAAGAGGUUUCAAAAGAGCAUAAAGGAUCAGAUGCAAGUGUUUUGUUGCCUCUGUUUGCCUGUCUAGAAGCCAUUGAGCUUUUCCAGCCAGAUGGAGGGAGAGAUAAAAGCCUGGUCCUCCCAGUCUCCAGCUGCUGUUGCUUUUCUGUACCAUGUCAUGUCAGUGUUGAAGACGGGACUGCCCAUCUAACAACUGAUGUUCUGUGAUGCAAUAGUUCAUUGUUCGUGACUUUUAUAUCUUUCUCUUGCCUAAUUGCUCUGACAAGGACUUCCAGUACUCUAGUGAAUAGAUGUAGUGAGAGUGGGCAUCCUUGUCUGUUCUUGAUCUUAGAAAAAAAGCUUUUAACUUUUCUCUGGUGAGUAUAAUUAAUUAAUCUUGGUUUGACUAUCCCAUGAAGAUAUGUGAGAAUGAUCUCACCAGCAGAAUAUGGAACCACUCAGAAAGCAUUGACUGCCUCCCAUAUUAUGGGCCAAGCACCAUUCUGGGCUCUAAGUGCAAUGAAGUGACUAUAAAAAUGA
This is a long non-coding RNA of Symphalangus syndactylus (siamang), 696 nucleotides long. RefSeq lists it as uncharacterized. NCBI's taxonomy places the organism in Eukaryota, Metazoa, Chordata, Mammalia, Primates, Hylobatidae. The record is from RefSeq and is a predicted model, not a curated record.